CCUUCGCACACGCCAAAACUUUAGCUGCACAUAUGCUCUCCUCACUCCUCUUCUGCUCGUCUGGGAGUCCCAAAUCCGGGUGGGGAAGAAAGAACACUUCGCUGGUGUGAGAGCUUGAAGCUGCCAGCAUGAUCUGGCUACUCAAACGCCGCCGGCCUCCCAAGUGCUCGAUCGGUGGCGCUUCACCAGAUCAUGUUGCAGCUUCACUCUCUCGCAACCAGCGAAGGGCGGCAAAGCACCGUGGAGGCUCCGGACAAUGAAUUCCUUCGCCGGUAGCUGCUGGUUUUCACCGGGCAAGUCAUCAGGCAGAUAAGCUGGUAAUGCAGGCUUUAGAAUGUAUACUAUUACUCAUUCGUUUUUUCCCAUCUCUUUCUACUAAAGAAAGUUUAAUGCUUAACCACAAGCAGAAAUUGAACGGCGGAUACAUGUCAA
This 432-nucleotide precursor RNA is filed under the name Zea mays. RNAcentral describes it as "precursor miRNA zma-miR167i". The stretch from base 103 to 218 matches the Rfam family "MIR167 microRNA precursor family". The record is from RNAcentral. Lineage: Eukaryota; Viridiplantae; Streptophyta; Magnoliopsida; Poales; Poaceae.